ACAUGGUUGAUUUCAGAGGCUACAUUGUACUUUUCCUCGUAUGGCUAGUCUCCACAAUCUUGGUCCGAUCAAUCUUCCGGAGAAGUAAGACCACAUCUAGUCUUCCACCAAGCCCAAUGGCAUUACCAAUCAUCGGACACCUCCACCUCCUUGCCCCAAUACCUCACCAGGCACUUCACAAACUUUCCAUCCGCUAUGGACCCUUAAUUCAUUUGUUCCUUGGCUCAGUCCCAUGUAUUGUUGCUUGCUCCCCUGAAACAGCAAAAGAGAUCCUCAAAACCCAUGAAACUUCUUUCUGCGACCGCCCCAUUUCAGCUGCGGUUGACUACCUUACAUAUGGCUCAGCUGAUUUCUCAUUUGCUCCUUAUGGACCUUACUGGAAGUUCAUGAAGAAAUUAUGCAUGACUCAACUUCUUGGUGGCCAAACGCUGAACCAAUUUAUCCCCAUCAGGUCUGAAGAAAUAUGGCGGUUUAUGCAGCUCAUGCUGAAGAAAGCGAAAGCAAGUGAGGCAGUUGAUGUUGGAAAAGAGCUUAUUCGGCUAACAAAUAACGUAGUGUCAAGAAUGACUAUGGGCCAAAUAUGUUCCAUCAAUGACAAAGAAGCUGAUGAGGUCAGGAAGUUGGUGCAAGAAACAGCUGAACUCACCGGAAAAUUUAAUUUGCAAGAUUAUAUUUGGUUCUGUAAGAACAUAGAUUUACAGGGAUUUGGGAAAAGACUCAAGGAAGUUCGUCGCAAGUUUGAUGAUAUGAUGGAGAGAAUUUUAAAGGAGCACCAAGAAGCAAGAAAGAUAAAUAAAGAAACAGGCAAGGAUUAUGCACCCAUGGAUUUACUUGAUAUGCUACUAGAUAUAUCAGAAGAUGAGAGCUCAGAAAUCAAGUUGACCAGAGAAAACAUCAAGGCCUUCAUCCUGGUAAGGAAUAUUUGCCAGCUAUUAAUAAAAAUACUUGAAAAUCACUUCGAUAAACCAUCAUUCUUCGCUUGUGAUAUGCAGGAUAUUUUCGCUGCUGGUACUGAUACAUCAGCUAUCACUGUAGAAUGGGCGCUAGCAGAGCUAAUCAAUCACCCUGACAUGAUGAAAAAAACAAGAGAAGAGAUUGAUUCUGUUGUAGGAAAGAGCAGACUAGUAGAAGAAUCAGAUAUCAUAAACCUUCCCUAUCUCCAGGCUCUAGUAAAAGAAACACUUCGGCUUCACCCAACUGGCCCAAUGUCCGUAAGAGAAUCAACUGAAAACUGCACCAUCAAUGGCUAUGAGAUCCCGGCAAGGACGAGAGUGUUCAUUAACGUGUGGGCAAUAAACAGGGACCCGAACCACUGGGAAACCCCACUUGAAUUCUGCCCCGAAAGGUUCAUUGCAGAAGAUGGGAAGAGCCAGUUGGAUGUCAGGGGACAACAUUAUCAUUAUAUUCCGUUCGGCAGCGGAAGAAGAGCCUGCCCUGGAACCACAUUAGCACUACACAUGGUUCAUUCAACCCUUGCUGCUAUGAUUCAGUGCUUUGAUUGGGAGGUUAUUGGAGGAAAUGGCACUAGAGUCGACAUGGAAGAAGGAACUGGCCUAACUCUUCCGAGGGCCCAUCCUCUGAUUUGUGUCCCUAUUACUAGGAUUAAUCCGUUUCCAUUAUCCUGAUUCAUCGUAAGAAAACACAAAAACAAGGAGAAAACAGUGACUUAGUUUUGAUUCUAGUGGCCACAUAUUUUUCCGAAUGUAAAACUUCUUGUUCUUGUAACACUUAAUGAUUUUCUUUUAAGAUGUAGAUCCUGUUUAUAGUGAAGUCAGAUUUUCUUCUCUUCAGUAGGUCAAAAUGCGUGGAAUUAUUGACAAAUUGUUGCUUAUGAAGAUCACUGAACUUUGAUAUUAACAUUUGUGCAAGAGUAAAAGCUCAACUCUUAAUAUUCUGUGCAGAGUGCACACCAUGACCUAGAAAGUGUUUGAUAAACUCGAUGAUUAUGUCUUCAAUGUUUAGUGACAAACCUUAGAAAGCAAAGAUCACUGAACUUUGAUAUUAACAUUUGUACAAGAGUAAAAGCUCAACUCUUAAUAUUCUGUGCAGAGUGCACACCAUUACUUAGAAAGUGUUUGAUAAACUCGAUGAUUAUGUCUUCAAGGUUUAGUGACAAACCCUAGAAAGCAAAGUCUUUGAUUGCUGAACUAUAUCUACUCGGUACGAACAUCAUUGAUUUAACUUUUAAUAAAAUGAGAAAGUGAGGAAACUUAUACUUGCCUUCAAAAUACAAUUCCUGAUGCCUGAAAAAUUCGGGGCAUCAAUUCCGGUCAAAGUAGCAUUUCUAUUUUCAAAAAAGAAAAAAAAUGGUUGAUACAUUGUUGAUUCUUGUUUCAUCUGCCUUUGAACUCUAUUUUCACAUGAACUGAUGAACACGAACGGAGCUAACCAAACUCAUUAAUAUUAUUUAACAUUAUAAAACCUAAUUAAAUAACUCAACAAUCAUGAUUACCACCUAAUCCCAACCUUCUUUUUACAGGCAAUGCUUUGAAUAAUUGAAUUUCUUAUCAACUAAUUAAUUAAUUGUUCGUGGGUAAGUUCAAAACACUCGGGUCCCUCGCUUUCCGCUGCAAUCGUGGGAUGGAAUCAUGGGACUCACAGAAAAAUAAUACCUUUUAAUAAUUAAUUAUGAACAUAAAAUAAAUCAACAAGAACCGGAUGCGGAUAAGUCCUCUAAUGGGACGUGCGAUCAGGACCACGUGUCAUAGACCCACAAACCGUUUCAAUUUCAUAAUUUUAUCAUCCGCCCAUAGUUUUAUACAUUACUCCUAUUUUUUGUUUUGUUUGUUUAAACUCUAAACUCAAGGCAACUCAUUUCUAUCUGCGUCUAUAAUUAACAGUAUGGAUCUGCCUCGAAUAUCUCUCAAUUAGUUGCUUUCAAAUCUUUCAAGUCCGAGCAAUUUUUCCUUAUCUUCACAAUUUGUAUUUUCUUUCUAUUUCAGAUUCAUCAUUCAGUGUCCAAACUCAAUUGCUAUCCAGUUUUGAUACAUUGUAUUUGAUUAUCUUUUUCAUUCUUUAUCAUAAUCUUUCACAAAUUAGAUCUGUUUUUGUAUUUUAGAGGUGAAAAUCUCAUUUGGGUGUCGCUCAAAUCUACCGAUUUACACAAAAAAAAAACGUAACUUUAAUCAAUUCUUAUUGUCCAAAAUUGCGGGGUUGUUUCCAAGGUGGUGACAGACUGAUACAUAUUAAAAGUUUCAUGAUAGUUAAAAAUUGAUUACCAUCAGGUUCUUUCAUUCCUCGCUUAAAUUGAAAGAAGAUUGAAACUUUUAGCACUUAAAACAUAUAUUUUGGAUGAGAGUUUUAGCACUUCAAAUAUAUAUUUUGGAUGAAAGUUUCAUGACUCUUGAAGUUAAAGCUUUUUAACAUGCUUAGUCUCUCUUUUGUUAACAUUGUGACAUGAUCAUUGAAGCAGGCUCAGGAGAGAAAUUAAUCUUAAUCGCUUGGUUUGCUAAGAUGGGAAGUGAUUAGUUAAGCAGCUCCUCUUCAAGUUGGUGUUAAAGCAAACAGAUCCAUCGGAAAUACCCAGCUAACUGACACUAAUCAAACUCAACCAAGCCAUCCCCCAACGGCAAUCCUUCAACACUUCCCUUUGACAGACUGUUUCAAAUAUUCUUCAGCUAAGAAAAGUGCUCUGUCAAUAUGUGACUGCUGCAGUUGAUGUAAGCUUAGUGUUGAAUCAUGUGACAUUUCUGUGUACGUUCUUUUCUCUGUGUUUAGCUGUUCUCGAUCAAGUUCUUUGAGUAUUGAUUGCGAUUUCUUGUGUUCAAUCAAUUUUUUAAUCUUUAUAGAAUACUUUGAUCUCGAUCAACUAGGCCUGGGUUUCAAGGUUUCUUGGCUUGAAAUCCUAAGAAACUUAGAAUUGCAGAGGUUAAAAUUUAAAAAUGUAGACUAUUGAAGACCUAUAAGCCUAUUAAAGUAUCGUUGCAAUAAAGUUGUCUCUUGGCUGUUGCUGUAUUACUAUAAAUAUACCAUAGCAAAAGCAGUGAAAGAAUGAAGCUUUGAUGGCAAAAACUAACCUACCCAAUAAGUAAAGUCAGGGAUAUAAAUCAGAAUAAAAGGUUUGCAGAGCGUACAACAUUAUUUCAUCAAUGCACUUUUAUUGUGCCUGCUGAAGAUCCUGUACCCUCAUUGGCCAGUCAUUGAUAUUUAGUAACAAGAUGACUGUUCAGGGUUCUGCUUUCACCCUGGCAGCCGGCAGCUCACUGCAAAUACCAAAUACAUGUGGUUAAAAUUCACUAAAAUGAAAGAUUAAACAUUUGCAUACAAACAAGUGAUUAAAAAAUUAGCAGAAGCAAAUACUACACACUAUCACUGACUCAGUCAUGGCUUUGCCAACCAUCUCAUUAAAGACAAUGACCAAAAUCCAUGAGUAAGAAUUCAGACUUCCUGCAAUUAAAUAUUAACAUUAUAUCUCAUGAACAACUCAUGCACGUAUAUAUACAGAUUACAUUCCUAUAAUUAAGGGGUUAAUAUUCCUACGUAUUCCUACGUAUCCCUAUAGUCUAGCAGUUGUCAUUGUUUGUUUACAACUAAUAUUCCGAUACCCCCCUCAAGUUGGAGCAUGCAGGUCUUGAAUGCCCAACUUGCGAAGGAAGAACUCAAACCGUUGUCUACCCAAUGCCUUCGUAAAUAUAUCAGCCAGUUGUGCAUGGGUCGAGACAUAAGCUGGUUGAAUGUUACCAAAGCGAACCUCAUCACGAACAAAAUGACAGUCUAUCUCAAUAUGUUUGGUCCGCUCAUGAAACACUGGAUUUGCUGCAAUGUGUAAGGCUGCCUGAUUGUCACAGUAUAGCUUCAUUGGAUUUGGAUGCUCCACGCCAAGAGUCAAUAGUAUCUCUUUUAACCAUUUUAAUUCGCAAGUGGUUGCUGCCAUAGAUCGAUAUUCUGCCUCAGCCGACGACCGAGAGACAGUGUGUUGCUUCUUCGUCUUCCAAGAGACUGGUGAAUUGCCGAGUAGAAUGAACCAUCCAGUUAAAGAACGACGAGUUAAUGGACAACUUGCCCAAUCUGAGUCACACCAAGCUGAUAAUUGCAGGUCACAGUCUGAUCGUAGCAUUAUUCCUUGACCAGGAUUCCCUUUCAAGUAACGCACAACGCGUAGAGCAGCCGCCCAAUGUUCUUCUCGUGGCUGUUGCAUGAAUUGUGCCAACACAUGCACACUGUAAGAUAAUUCGGGACGUGUAACAGAGAGAUAAAUAAGUCGGCCCACCAAACGUCUGUAACUCUCAGGUUUAGAUAAGAAAACGCCAUCGGCCAAAGCCAAAUUAUAGUUGUGCUCUAGCGGGAAAGAUGCAGGUUUAGCUCCGAGUAGACCAACCUCAGAGAUAAUAUCCAGCGCAUAUUUACGUUGGCACAAGAAAAUUCCUGUAGGACUUCGGGCUACUUCGAUUCCGAGGAAAUAUUUCAACAUUCCUAAAUCCCUCAUAUGAAAACAUUUGCUCAAAUAUUCCUUGAAAACUUUAAUGGCUGCAUGAUCAUUACCUGUCACAACAAUGUCAUCAACAUAUACAAGGACAUUGAUUUGUACCUUGCCUUGGCUCAAAGUAAAAAGAGAGGAGUCCGAGUAUGAUUGUUCGAAACCAUAACUCUUCAGAGCAGUAACCAAUUUCGCAAACCAACAUCGGGGAGCUUGUUGUAAUCCAUACAAAGACUUCUUCAAAUGACAUACCAUCCCUGGGUUCUCUGAAUGAAAACCAGGAGGCAUACACAUGUACACCUCUUCUUCCAAAUCGCCGUGUAAGAACGCAUUAUGCACGUCCAUUUGAUGAAGUUCCCAGUGCUUAGCUGCUGCUACUGCCAGAAGAGCUCGAACUGUAACCAUUUUUGCCACUGGAGCAAACGUCUCAUUGUAGGCAAUCCCUGCAACUUGCUUGUUCCCGAGAAUUACCAAUCGAGCCUUAUAGCGCUUAAUGGUUCCAUCAGCAUUAUAUUUAAUCUUGUAUACCCAUUUACAAUUUAUAGCUCGUUUUCCUGGUGGUAAGGAUUCUACAGUCCAUGUCUCAUUAUCUUCCAGUGCUUGUAUCUCUUUCUUCAUUGCAUCUCUCCAUUUUUCAUCUUUGACCGCUUCAGUAAAAGAACUGGGCUCAGUACCUGCAGUGACAGCUGCCAAGAAAGCACGAUGUCGCAAUGAAAACUUAUCAUAGUUCACAUAAUGUGUUAUCGGAUAAGGACUACCUGAGGAAUGCGUAUGGCCAAGUGAGCGUGCAGAGGGGCUCGAGGAGGAGCUCAACCAUUGUACUGUGUGUAAGACAUAAUCUCGCAAUCUGGUGGAUUGUUGUCGUUGCCUGCAACCACGCCCUAGCACAAUUUCAGAUUGCUCAUCAUCCAUAAUCUCAUUGGCACCCCCGUUGCUACAAAUAUUCCUUGAUCCUGUUCAUCAUAUAUAGGUGUUUCAGUAGAUUGCCCAUAAUCUAUAUCCCUUAUACCUUCUUGAUCCUCUUGGUUUGGCAUCCUAGAGUGGUGCUCCAUGUCCAAGUUUUCACUCACAGCAGCUCCCCGCAUAAUUUCCUCUUCGGCAACCAAGCUAUCUAACUCAUUAUUUUUCGUUUUGCCUUGCUCACUAGUGCCUUUGUUCACAUAAGGAAACACAUGUUCUUUGAAUACAACAUCCCUUGAGACAAAGAGCUCACCCGAGUUCAGAUCAUCCAAGCUCCAGCCUUUCUUUCCAUAAGGAUACCCAAUAAAAAUGCAUUUCCUACUUUGACUGGCAAAUUUAUCUCCUCCAUGCUUUUGAUUAUGAGCAUAAGCCAAACAUCCAAACACUUAGAUAUUUUUAUACGAAGGGGUUUCACCAAACAAUAUUUCAUAAGGUGUUUUCCCUUGUAACAAGUCGGAUGGAGUUCGAUUGAUUAAGUAUGCAGCUGUCAAUAUACACUCUCCCCAAAAUUCAAUGGGCAAAUUUGCUUGGAAACGCAGUGCCCGUGCUACAUUGAGUAUAUGACGAUGUUUCCGUUCUACUCUCCCAUUUUGUUGAGGGGUCCCAACGCACGAGGUUUGAUGUAUUACACCUUUCUCCACAAAAUAACCAUCCAAACAGGUGAACUCAGUUCCAUUAUCACUACGCACUAUUUUCACAUGUCUAUUAAAUUGUCUAUGAACCAUAGCAAAGAAAUUCUGAAUCGUUCGUGCCACCUCGCUUUUAUUAUUUAAUAAAUAAAUCCACACUGCUCUAGAGUAAUCAUCAACAAUAGUCAAAAAAUAAUAUGCACCGCAAAAAGUUGGAGUUCUAUAAGGACCCCAUAAAUCACAAUGAAUCUUCUCAAAAAUAUUAGAUGCCUUAUUAUCACUUGAUACAAACUCUUCUCGACAAUGUUUUGCUCGGACACAGACUUCACAUUCAUCAGUGCACUUAUUAUUAUUUCUAUUAACGAUGGGUAACAACCUAAUGACCUUGUUGGAAGGAUGGCCCAACCUUUGAUGCCAAAGAUCUACUGAGUCAUUUUCUGCUACUUUUAUAACUUUGACUGAUGUUAAGCUCCGAAAGUAGUAGAGCCCCUCGCGUUGCUCACCCGCACCAAUUAGCAUCCUCGAAUUGUGGUCCUGUAUAAUACAAAAUUUAUUAGUGAACUGGACUAUACAAUUCGACUCCUUAAUCAACUGUGCUACUGAAAUUAAGUUACACUUUAAAUUAGGCACAUAUAACACAUUAUUUAGUUUUAGAUGUUUAUCCAAAACUAUGGUUCCUUCUUUCUCCGCUAUUGUUUCCUUCCCAUCUGGUAGCCCAACAGAACAUGAGAGGAUUUUCUUCACAUCACUCAUCGACUUAAGGCUUCCUGUCAUAUGAUGAGAGGCCCCGCUGUCAAUUAUCCAUUCCAUUAUUUUAUGCUUACCGUUCAAUCUUCCUUGAUUCCCUUCUUUUUGCCCAUUUAAUAGAUUAAGCAAUAAAUUCCAUUGUUCGUUGCUUAGUCCAUUCAAUCCACUUUUGUCUGCUUCGACUCUCUGUUCUUGAGCCGUGCUUCCCUGUGUUGUUACUUGCGCUACGUUGGCCCGAAUUUGUCCACCCCGUCCUCUUCCUCCAGAUGCAGCAGGCUGCUUCUGUCCUCCUUGUCCACGGCCUGUUCCACGUCCACCUCCUCCUCGAGGUCUAUCCCCCCACCAAUCGGGGUACCUAAUUAGCUGGAAACAUGAUUCUGCAUCGUGUCCUGUUCUCUUGUAAUUUGAGCACAACACGGUUUUGUCCUUGCUCUCGGUCCGUCCUUUCAAGCUUGUUGCUGUUUGAAUUGCAAAAGCCAUGGCCUCGACUUGCUGUUCCUUCCCGCGGGUUAUACUACAAACUCGCUCUUCCUGGAUAAUCAUAGCAUAUGCUCGAUUCAAGGUUGGCAAUGGUUUAGUGCUCAAGAUAUUAGAGCGCACCGUCCCAUAAGUUGAGUCAUCCAAGCCCAUAAAAAACUGAUGUAGCCUUUCCUCUUCACGUUUCUUAUCUAAUUCCGCGCUAAUGUUGCAUGCACAUCCUCCACAUCGGCACGUCGAGUAUUGCUCAUAGUUUCCCAAUUCUUCCCAGAUCAUCUUUAAUUUGCCAUAGUAACUCAUAACAGUUAUGCCUCGCUGUUUACAUUCAGCUAACUCAGUUUAAGCUGAUGAACAUGUGGUUCGUUUCCUGCCGAGAACCGUUCCUUGAUAUCAUCCCAAAGUUCCUUUGCAACUUCCCUGUAAGUUAUAGUCGAGCGCAAAGUUGGUUCAAUUGUGUUCAAGAUACAUGAUAUCAGCAUGGAGUUAACUGUCCACCAAUCUUCCUGUGUCAUAGAAUCAUCCAAAGGCUGUAUCACAGAACCAUCGAUGAAGCCAAAUUUUUUCUUGGCCCGCAACGCCGUUCUCAUUGCUCGUGCCCAUUCAUCAUAAUUGUCACCCUUCAAUUGAACUUGGGUGAUUGUGUUCCCUAGAUUGUCGUUGGCCAAGAGAAAAUACGGUGAUGUUGCACUCUUCGACGGCCCAUCAUCGCUGCCGCUCCUAGCCAUAUUUGUGUUGCUCUGAUACCAUGAAAAGAAUAUAUUUCAGAAUUGAAUUUCUUGCCCUUCUCAUUAACAACUCAUGCACGUAUAUAUACAGAUUACAUUCCUAUAAUUAAGGGGUUAAUAUUCCUACGUAUCCCUAUAGUCUAGCAGUUGUCAUUGUUUGUUUACAACUAAUAUUCCAAUAUAUUUGUUGUGCAAUUAAAUAUUAACAUUUUAUUUGAUUGUGCGCAGAAUAUGGAAUGAAGCGCACUAAAUAAUCACAGCAAAAAUAAAUGAUACAAUAAUUUAAUGUGGUUCGGCAAUAUGUCUACGUCUAUGGGAGUAAAAAAAAUAAUUCUAUUAAUAAAAUUAUUUUGAGUAAAAUAUUUGAGUAAAGAAACUUCAGUUUUCAAAAAAUAAAUACAUACUCUCACACAUACUUGAAAAGAAAAAACUCUCAAAUACACACACUCCUUAAAAGUAAAAAAUUCUUAAAUACAUACACUAUUCAAUUGCUCACUCUCUCGAUAAUUCUUUACUCGAAUUGUUUCUCUCAAUUUUAGGAUGAUUUUUAAUGAGUGGAGUAGCUUCAAUUUACAGGAGCCCCUCAAGGAAUUUGUCAAUAGAGCGGGUAAUUUUUAAAAACCUCCCCUGAGGUUUGGGCUUGUUGCAAGUAGAUGGCGAGAAUCUAUUUAUUUGUAAAAAACCCCCUGUUUGAGAACAGUAGUUAGUCAUUUCAGUUACUAAUGUUCUGACACAAAUAAAAACCAAACUUGUAAAAAGAAGUUUCGUUUCGUUUCAAACAAUGCAUCUCUUUGCUAUCAUUUUUUUAAUAAUCUUAAAAACUAAAAACUAAAAACGAAAGCAAAAAAAAAAAUGACCACCACCAUCAUCAUAUAAAACCUUGGAUACAAAGACGAUUUUUGAUCAUCACAGAGGAUUACCGAAUUGAUGAGCAGCAGCUUACAGUGGCAACGAGCAGUAGCACAAACCACAAGCACGAACCACUAGUCCACGAUGUAUCGCAGUGAGUUUCGCCGGCAACCCACAAGCACGAACAUCUAUGUCGAAGCGAAUCAGAGGUGAGUUGUUUGAAAACACACUCUUAUCUGCUUUUUAUUUGUAGAUAACUCAAAAAGAUAUUGUGAUUUAUAUACAUGGCUUAGGUAAAAUCAGAAUUGAAAUUAGAAAAAUUUAGCUCUGUAAUGGCAGUAAAACAAGGCAAAAUUUGUUUGAUCUAUAUAUAACAUUUGCUGCAUAUGGUCGUGGACUUACAAUGGUUAAGCCUUAGAGUUUACAGCUUAUAGGAGAAUUGGUUUUUGGUUUAAUAUUAGUGGAAGGAAUAAUAAGAGCCAAGCUAUUUGACACCGGACACUUGAUUAAUGUAAGAAAUUCUACUCAAAACUGAACAGUCUACACUUAACUGAUUAUAACUUACUGUAGAUAGCUUCAAAUUUAGAUUAGUAAAAUUCAUUUGAAAGCUAACAGAAAUAUAGUUCCAAUGAUGUAUGGCUCGAAAAUUAAUUCGAUUUCAUGCAGUACAGUUUAAUUCCCAAAGAUGCCCCUUCUGCACAUAAAUUCUUCUCACUUGAUUAAUGUAACAAAUUCUACUAAAAACUGAACAGUCUGCACUUAACUGAUCAUAACUUACUGUAGAUAGCUCCAAAUUUAGAUUAGUAAAAUUCAUUGGAAAGUUAACAGAAAUAUCUUUCCAAUGAUGUAUGGCUCGAAAAUUAAUUUGAUCUCAUGCAGUACAAUUUAAUCCACUGUCUUUAUGUAAUCAUGCCAAAUACAAGUAGCUUGGUGGUGCUUGUUGGGUUAUCAAUUGUAAAAAUGGAAAAAAUGAAUGUAUUUCUUGCCUGUUGUGUGAAGGUUGUAUAGAGUGGCCAGAACUGAUACUGCUGCUUUGUACUAGUGCUGGAUGGUUUCAUUUGAAAAAAAAAAAUUAUUAAAUCUAGCUUUUGCAUGUGUGUUAUUUGUGAUGAUGAUGAGAAAUGUUGUGAAGAAUGACACAUUUAGAGUAUAAGGGAAGAAGAAUGACAUGUUGAGAAGUAUAAAUUGUUUCUGUGUGCUGUGCAUAAGGCUUUAAAUUACUUUACAAUCUUAUAAAUAGCAGGAGACUUGCAAUAUGAUUGUUGGUUUGUAAUGGUCAUAAUGCAACACCCUCUUUAUUUUUUUUUCAAGUUUUUAAUUUUAUCUUUCUUGUAGGAACUUUAAGGAAAUAUCAAUAAUUUAAAGAGGGUAAAAUAGUCAUAAUCCUUACCUAUGAUAUUGUAAAUCUUUGGAAUUGACAGGUAUAAAAUUGUCAAAAAAUAGGGUUUGUGCUUUUCGCACCAACAAUUUUAAUUUUUUUUUUUAGUUAUGUCAGUCUAUAAACUGUUGUUAAGGGCAAUAUUAUCUUUGCACAGUCAACUAACGGUCAAUGUAAAAAUUAACUGACGGUAGGAGGUUUUUUACAAAUAAACGGAUUCUCGCCAUCUACCUGCAACAAGCCCAAACCUCAGGGGAGGUUUUUCAAAAUUACCCCAAUAGCGCCCGUCAAUUUGUCGAUAGUGCCCAUUAAUGUCAACUUGACAAAUUGGCCAACAUUUGGCUAAUUUGUCAAAAUUGAUAUGUACUGUUUUGAAACACAAAAAAAAUGAAUAUGGCUCAUGAGCAAACAAAUCACCAAUUUUGACUUUUCAACAAUAUUUUGUCCAAACAAGAAAGUUAAGGCAUCGAUAAUUAAUUUGGAUUAUUAAGAUGUUGCUUUCACACAAAUUACAAUUUAACGUUUGGCACAAUAGCUGAAAUGCAAGGUAAAGUCGGCAAAGACUUUCUGUCAUGCUAUAUCUCCACUUAGUACCAACUUAUAUAUAACAACAUUAUUAAGACCAACAGCAAAAGAUCUCAGUUAGGCCCCGUUUGGGAUUGCUUUUGGGAGGGUUAAAAGUGAUUUUAAAAAAUGUAAAAGCUAAUUUUAGUGUUUGGUAAAAAAAAAUCAAAAUCACUUUUCCCAGAAUCAGCUCCUCCUACAGCUGAUUUUGAAAAGUAGGAAAGGAGUAACUUUUAGAUUCUGAUUUUGAGAAUCAAUUUUAUCCUUUAAUAUAAUUCCAUAAAUAUUCUUACAAUUAUUACUUAAACCCGAAAUUAUCCUUAUUUAAAUUGGAAAUAAAAUCAAUAUUUUAAUACUUUUUUAUUAUAAUUAACGCACACCUUUCGUUUGCCCUAUUUCUUCAUAUUUUGUGUUCUAUCAAAACUUCUCUAGUGCAAUAAAGUAAGAACCAAUACGUGUUCCAUCACCAUAUUCAAUAACAGUAAGUGAUUCAUCACCCUUUUCAUGCAUAUUCAAUGUAAUUUUUAUUAUAAUAUUUGUACGUGUACAUUUUUAUAUGUAUAAGUAAAUUUCAUCUUACAUUAUGUACAUUUUAGUAAUUUAUUUUCUUACAGCAGUUUAACAAUAAGAUUUACCAAACACCCAUAUCUGCUUGCAAAAUUCACAGUACUUUUGAAAAUAAAAUUUGCCAAACACUUAACUAAUUCUUUUCACAGCUGAUUAUUUCCACAGCACAGCUAACAGCAAUUAUUUUAAAAGCUGCAGCAUUACCAAACUGGCCCUUAUUCUCACUAAGAGCAAAACAUGGUUGAUUUUAGAGGCUGCAUUUUUCUUCUCCUCACAUGCCAGUCUCCACGAACUUGGCCCGAUCAAUCUUCCGAAGAAGUCAACUUGUCGAUAGUGCCCAUUAAUGUCAACUUGACAAAUUGGCCAACAUUUGGCUAAUUUGUCAAAAUUGAUAUGUACCGUUUUGAAACACAAAAAAAAAUGCAUAUGGCUCAUGAGCAAACAAAUCACCAAUUUUGACUUUUCAACAAUAUUUUGUCCAAACAAGAAAGUUAAGGCGUCGAUAAUUAAUUUGGAUUAUUAAGAUGUUGCUUUCACACAAAUUACAAUUUAACGUUUGGAACAAUAGCUGAAAUGCAAGGUAAAGCCGGCAAAGACUUUCUGUUAUGCUAUAUCUCCACUUAGUACCAACUUAUAUAUAACAGCAUUAUUAAGACCAACAGCAAAAGAUCUCAGUUUUCCACCAAGCCCAAUGGCAUUACCGAUCAUCGGACACCUCCACCUCCUUGCCCCAGUACCUCACCAUGCACUUCACAAACUUUCCAUCCGCUAUGGACCCUUAAUUCAUUUGUUCCUUGGCUCAGUCCCAUGUGUUGUUGCUUGCUCCCCUGAAACAGCAAAGGAGAUCCUCAAAACCCAUGAAACUUCUUUCUGCGACCGCCCCAUU
Molecule: long non-coding RNA, 13198 nt
Filed under: Citrus sinensis (sweet orange)
Lineage: Eukaryota; Viridiplantae; Streptophyta; Magnoliopsida; Sapindales; Rutaceae
Description: long non-coding RNA (CSIN_LNC003034)
Source: RNAcentral